UACGAAGGGUGCAAGCGUUACUCGGAAUUACUGGGCGUAAAGCGUGCGUAGGUGGUUCGUUAAGUCUGUCGUGAAAGUCCCGGGCUCAACCUGGGAAUGGCGAUGGAUACUGGCGGGCUAGAGUGCGGUAGAGGGUGGUGGAAUUCCCGGUGUAGCAGUGAAAUGCGUAGAGAUCGGGAGGAACAUCAGUUGCGAAGGCGGCCACCUGGACCAGCACUGACACUGAGGCACGAAAGCGUGGGGAGCAAACAGG
Molecule: ribosomal RNA, 253 nt
Filed under: uncultured bacterium
Lineage: Bacteria
Description: partial 16S ribosomal RNA
Rfam family: Bacterial small subunit ribosomal RNA
Source: RNAcentral